This 253-nucleotide ribosomal RNA is filed under the name uncultured bacterium. RNAcentral describes it as "partial 16S ribosomal RNA". It matches the Rfam family "Bacterial small subunit ribosomal RNA", at positions 524 to 776 of the family's 1533-position model. The record is from RNAcentral.
UACGUAGGGUGCGAGCGUUGUCCGGAAUUAUUGGGCGUAAAGGGCUCGUAGGCGGUUUGUCGCGUCGGGAGUGAAAACCUUGGGCUUAACUCAGGGCUUGCUUUCGAUACGGGCAGACUAGAGGUAUGCAGGGGAGAACGGAAUUCCUGGUAUAGCGGUGAAAUGCGCAGAUAUCAGGAGGAACACCGGUGGCGAAGGCGGGUCUCUGGGCCGAUACUGACGCUGAGGAGCGAAAGCGUGGGGAGCGAACAGG